Molecule: ribosomal RNA, 1346 nt
Filed under: uncultured bacterium
Lineage: Bacteria
Description: bacterial SSU rRNA
Rfam family: Bacterial small subunit ribosomal RNA
Source: RNAcentral
GACGAACGCUGGCGGCGUGCUUAACACAUGCAAGUCGAACGGAAAGGCCCUGCUUUUGUGGGGUGCUCGAGUGGCGAACGGGUGAGUAACACGUGAGUAACCUGCCCUUGACUUUGGGAUAACUUCAGGAAACUGGGACUAAUACCGGAUAGGAGCUCCUGCUGCAUGGUGGGGGUUGGAAAGUUUCGGCGGUUGGGGAUGGACUCGCGGCUUAUCAGCUUGUUGGUGGGGUAGUGGCUUACCAAGGCUUUGACGGGUAGCCGGCCUGAGAGGGUGACCGGCCACAUUGGGACUGAGAUACGGCCCAGACUCCUACGGGAGGCAGCAGUGGGGAAUAUUGCACAAUGGGCGGAAGCCUGAUGCAGCAACGCCGCGUGCGGGAUGACGGCCUUCGGGUUGUAAACCGCUUUCGCCUGUGACGAAGCGUGAGUGACGGUAAUGGGUAAAGAAGCACCGGCUAACUACGUGCCAGCAGCCGCGGUGAUACGUAGGGUGCGAGCGUUGUCCGGAUUUAUUGGGCGUAAAGGGCUCGUAGGUGGUUGAUCGCGUCGGAAGUGUAAUCUUGGGGCUUAACCCUGAGCGUGCUUUCGAUACGGGUUGACUUGAGGAAGGUAGGGGAGAAUGGAAUUCCUGGUGGAGCGGUGGAAUGCGCAGAUAUCAGGAGGAACACCAGUGGCGAAGGCGGUUCUCUGGGCCUUUCCUGACGCUGAGGAGCGAAAGCGUGGGGAGCGAACAGGCUUAGAUACCCUGGUAGUCCACGCUGUAAACGGUGGGUACUAGGUGUGGGGUCCAUUCCACGGGUUCCGUGCCGUAGCUAACGCUUUAAGUACCCCGCCUGGGGAGUACGGCCGCAAGGCUAAAACUCAAAGGAAUUGACGGGGCCCCGCACAAGCGGCGGAGCAUGCGGAUUAAUUCGAUGCAACGCGUAGAACCUUACCUGGGUUUGACAUGGAUCGGGAGCGCUCAGAGAUGGGUGUGCCUCUUUUGGGGUCGGUUCACAGGUGGUGCAUGGCUGUCGUCAGCUCGUGUCGUGAGAUGUUGGGUUAAGUCCCGCAACGAGCGCAACCCUUGUUCACUGUUGCCAGCACGUUAUGGUGGGGACUCAGUGGAGACCGCCGGGGUCAACUCGGAGGAAGGUGGGGAUGACGUCAAGUCAUCAUGCCCCUUAUGUCCAGGGCUUCACGCAUGCUACAAUGGCUGGUACAGAGAGUGGCGAGCCUGUGAGGGUGAGCGAAUCUCGGAAAGCCGGUCUCAGUUCGGAUUGGGGUCUGCAACUCGACCUCAUGAAGUCGGAGUCGCUAGUAAUCGCAGAUCAGCAACGCUGCGGUGAAUACGUUCCCGGGGCU